UGCAUUGGCCGGGAAUCGAACCUGGGCCGCCCGCGUGGCAGGCGAGCAUUCUACCACUGAACCACCGAAGGU
RNAcentral lists this transfer RNA (72 nucleotides) under Cordylochernes scorpioides. Its description in RNAcentral is "tRNA-Gly". Lineage: Eukaryota; Metazoa; Arthropoda; Arachnida; Pseudoscorpiones; Chernetidae. The record is from RNAcentral.